Molecule: long non-coding RNA, 741 nt
Filed under: Rattus norvegicus (Norway rat)
Lineage: Eukaryota; Metazoa; Chordata; Mammalia; Rodentia; Muridae
Description: long non-coding RNA NONRATT033190
Source: RNAcentral
GUUUGUGCUGCUUUAAUAGUUCACUGGUAGCUCUUGUGCUUUGGCUGACUGUGCUGUGAGGAAGGCUCCUUCUGAGUCUGAGAGCGCCAGAGAGCGCGGCCGCCAGAGCACAGCAGGGCACAGUGGACGCUGUUCGCCCAGUCCGCGCGACACACCGGACAGAGGUUGACGGUCUCCUGCCCCUCUCCCGGCCCCCUUCAUCAACCGGGCUGUAGGAUUUCAGCCGAUCGAUCAUUGCCUGAAAAUUUAACCCAGACGGAAUUUGUUGGCCAGAGGACCGAUUUGGGGGCAACUGUGAAGGCUCGGAAGCACAGAGCGCACCAUUUGCCUUUGCUUUGCUUUUCCUUGGUUUCUUUUCGUUUGGUUUGCUGUACAUCUCGGUUUGUUUGGGUCGACAGACCCUACCAGCUCUCAGCCAGGAGUAGAGGAAGAGGAAGUGGAGUUGGCAAUGAGGAGAGCUGGUCCCCAACAGGAAGAGAGUUCCAGAGAGGCUACAGUAUGAUCUUCUUGCCCCUCUCCUCUCAGAGCUCAGCUGACCAGUGCCCAGUUGGACCUCAACCAGGAAGUUGGCUCCCCUCGCCCCUCCUGGGCAGGACCCUCCCCGUUUCCUUUGCUGGAACCUCACCCUCCCCCAAAAGCAUUUUCUGGCUGAUUGCCUUCUGUCAGCCCCAAAGUGCUUCAGUGAAAUGUGCCUGCCUGUCUCUGCUCCUUGUGAGAUCUACUCUCCCUCUGGACUUCUGA